AUGAGUAAGGAAUUUGGCAAAAGUUCUAUUAUAUUGUUGAAUACUAUGCUUAUUAUUAUUAGAUUUGGGGCUCAACUAAGCCUGCCACAUUCACUGAAUCUUCAAGGUGGUUAUGGAACCCCUGAAGCGACCCUUGACUCAACACUGAAGAAUGACAAACCAAGUGUGUGGUCGGUCACAAACCACAGAACCAGCAGGAACUUCGGGCCCAUCUACUGCCAUGUUCCUAAGAGUGAAGUCCAAGCUGCUCUAAACUACAGAGCUUCUACUGGCCCAUCCAGACCUCCUUCAAUGACGCUCCUAAAGCCACACCAGGACCCACACCUACCUUCUGAGGACAGAGGAGGCUGCAGAGUGAGAAGGAUGCUUGGUUAAGGCUCCUCAGCAUCCCCUGUCUGGAGCAGUUAACUGGGAAUACAGAGUCGCCUCCAUUUUCUGGUCACAUGAUCAUGGGCACAUCUAAAUACGGAGGAUCACCCGCCUGCCAGAUCUCCCAGGGAGCCCUCGCCACCGCUGCCUGCUUCUGUGAGGAGAAGGAGCUGGGGCUGUGAUGAGCUUCACUUGCGAAUAUAGACUACUCCUUCAAUCAGGGUGUGGAGUCAGAAAUGCCCCUCCCUUGAUUUUUGUGUCUGCUCAGAAACACUGUUGUCACUCCUGUUCCUAAAGAAGACUGAAUGUGAAUGGGCUCAGAGCACAGACUGGAAGCAAUACAGUUCCCCUGAAACCUCUUUAAAAAAAAAAUCCUUUGGCUACACAGCACAUGAAGUAAGAUAAUAGUGUCAUUAUUUUCAUUUCACAGUGAUCAAAAAUAAUAAAAAUGGACUAUGGAAGCAUAGUGAGAUACAUAAAGAAAUUCAACUGGAGGUUCUAGAGAAAGUUAGGAUGUUUACCCAAGAUCGAUACAGCUUUGGCUAGUGAGAAACAAAGGCACGUGACCAGUAAGCACUUAGACCCUGGAGUCAGAGGGCCUGAGUUUGAAAUCUAAUUUCUACUACUUAUUAGCAAGUUUGGACCAGUAGUUAGUAAACUACAGACUGCUGACUCACAAAUGGAUAACAACACUGUUACUUUAAAGCAAGAUAAUCUAGGUAGAGAUUUUAGAGAGCCUGGGUUAAAAGAACUUAUUAGCUACUAAUAAUAUUAUUAAUUCUAAAAAUGCCAACAGAAAUAUUUGAUGGAGUUAUGUCAAAUGAAAUACGAAUGAAAAGCUUACAUAACAGAAAAACAUACAUUCAUUAGUAUCAUCCUCAAAGGAAACAUAUAUUGUCAGACAAAUCAAACGAAGACUCCUGAUCACAAUCAGGCAACAUAUCAAUGUGCAAAGUAACUACAGGCACCACCUUCAGAACUAGGUUGUCAGAAGUCCCAUGUUACGUCAUCUUUUUGUUUCUCGUGGGAGAUAGUGGGUAGGUGAGUUGGGGAGGGGGCUAUGGUAGAAUAGGGCAGCUUGGGGUCCUCUCCAAUUGAGCCAACUCCAAUAAAAGAGGAAAGUGAAUUCCUCAAUGGAGGACCUGGCCAUAGUAAAUAUUUAAGAAAUGUUAGCUCCUAGUCUUAAAAUGAAGGACAUUUCAUGUCUUUCCCACGGCUGCUGGGGGUGGUAAGAGGGCAGCAGGGAAGGGAGAAGAGGAAGAAGUGAAUUUUUAUACCUCUACUUAAACUAAAAGCCUACACAAAUUCUCCCAAGUGAUGAGCAGUUAUGAAAAUAAUUUCUCACAUGCUUUCUAUUGUUUAGUUAUAGAGAAUUGGAGGUGGGGACCUUAGCGGGUAAUGACUUUGCAGGGUUCAGUGAAAAUCCAGUGCAGUUUCCAAAGCCAAGCUGAGCCAGAAUUCAUCAGAGAAGAGAUGGCUCCAGAACUGGCUGUACCCUGGGUGUCCAGGGUGAAGCCUAAAACUGGGGUCUCUGCUUUGUGAAGUGCUGGCUCAUUAGGGGGUCCCUCCUCAGGCGGAAAAACGUAGUGGUUGGAGCUGCAGUAAGAGGAGUUACGUGUUGUAGAACAGACACUGUAAGUGAACCUGUCCUCACUAUCUAACAAUAUACACUACCAUGUGUAACUAGAUAGUAGUGGGAAGCUGCUGCAUAGCACACGGAGCUAGCUGGGUGCUCUGUGACAACCUGAAG
This is a long non-coding RNA of Capra hircus (goat), 2119 nucleotides long. NCBI's taxonomy places the organism in Eukaryota, Metazoa, Chordata, Mammalia, Artiodactyla, Bovidae. The record is from Ensembl.